GACGAACGCUGGCGGCGUGCCUAAUACAUGCAAGUAGAACGCUGAAGGAGGAGCUUGCUUCUCUGGAUGAGUUGCGAACGGGUGAGUAACGCGUAGGUAACCUGCCUGGUAGCGGGGGAUAACUAUUGGAAACGAUAGCUAAUACCGCAUAAGAGUAGAUGUCGCAUGACAUUUGCUUAAAAGGUGCAAUUGCAUCACUACCAGAUGGACCUGCGUUGUAUUAGCUAGUUGGCGAGGUAACGGCUCACCAAGGCAACGAUACAUAGCCGACCUGAGAGGGUGAUCGGCCACACUGGGACUGAGACACGGCCCAGACUCCUACGGGAGGCAGCAGUAGGGAAUCUUCGGCAAUGGACGGAAGUCUGACCGAGCAACGCCGCGUGAGUGAAGAAGGUUUUCGGAUCGUAAAGCUCUGUUGUAAGAGAAGAACGAGUGUGAGAGUGGAAAGUUCACACUGUGACGGUAUCUUACCAGAAAGGGACGGCUAACUACGUG
RNAcentral lists this ribosomal RNA (495 nucleotides) under uncultured bacterium. RNAcentral describes it as "partial 16S ribosomal RNA". It matches the Rfam family "Bacterial small subunit ribosomal RNA", at positions 28 to 507 of the family's 1533-position model. The record is from RNAcentral.